CCGAACUGUCGACACGAGCUGUUGCUGGCCCUCAAAGUGGGGCACGUGCACGCUCUGUUUGCACAUCCACUCACACCCGUGUGCACCCUCUGUAGCUCCAUGGCCUGGGGACCCUGUCCCCUUGCUGUGGUCCUGCUUCUUUACACACACACCGUAACAAAGUCUCAUGGAAUGCAUGUCGCGUUUAACGCAAUACAAUA
This 200-nucleotide unclassified non-coding RNA is filed under the name uncultured fungus. RNAcentral's name for it is "sequence contains ITS1, 5.8S rRNA gene". The record is from RNAcentral. Lineage: Eukaryota; Fungi.